RNAcentral lists this ribosomal RNA (508 nucleotides) under uncultured bacterium. RNAcentral's name for it is "partial 16S ribosomal RNA". It matches the Rfam family "Bacterial small subunit ribosomal RNA", at positions 30 to 523 of the family's 1533-position model. The record is from RNAcentral.
AUUGAACGCUGGCGGCAUGCCUUACACAUGCAAGUCGAACGGCAGCGGGGGAGAAGCUUGCUUUUCCUGCCGGCGAGUGGCGAACGGGAGAGUAAUACAUCGGAACGUGCCCUGUGGUGGGGGAUAACUAGUCGAAAGAUUAGCUAAUACCGCAUACGACCUGAGGGUGAAAGUGGGGGACCGCAAUGCCUCAUGCUAUAGGGGCGGCCGCUGUCUGAUGAGCCAGUUGGUGGGUUAAAGGCCUACCAAGGCGACGAUCAGUAGCUGGUCUGGGAGUACGAUCGACCACACUGGGACGGCGACACAGCCCAAACUCCUACGGGAGGCAGCAGUAGGGAAUUUUGGACAAUGGACGAAAGCCUGAUCCAGCAAUGCCGCGUGGGUGAAGAAGGCCGUCGGAUUGUAAAGCACUUUUGUCCGAAAAGAAAUGGCUUGAGUUAAUACCUGGGGUCGAUGACGGUACCGGAAGAAUAAGGACCGGCUAACUACGUGCCAGCCGCCGCCGUAA